Molecule: long non-coding RNA, 713 nt
Filed under: Gallus gallus (chicken)
Lineage: Eukaryota; Metazoa; Chordata; Aves; Galliformes; Phasianidae
Source: RNAcentral
GGGGACUCCAGCAUGGCGGCGUCGAUCCCAAAGAGCAAGCUGAAGAGGGGCUCUUCCAGCACGAAGCCCCCCGAGCACCACGGCCCCUCCCCGCUGCCCGCUGUGCCCGGGGAGGAGGCGCAGCACAGCACGGGCAGGAAGCGUGAGGGCGCGCCGUCUCCCUCCUCGCUGGGUGCGGGGCCGGGGCAGAAGCCCACCUCGCUGACCUGCCGGUACGGGGGGCUGUCCUGCUCGGGGCGCGGCAGCUCGUGCAGCUUCAUCCACCACUUGCCGUGGGCCUGGGACAGGGUGAUGACGAAGUUGUUGAGCAGAGUGAACAUGCACAGGCUGGAGUCUGGGAAGAUGCAGGCGUCCGAAUCCACGGGGAAGACGCCGGAAGGGCAAUUGCUUUCUUGGCCGUCGCCAUCCGUCUGCUCCAUUAACCUGCUCUGCUGGUCCAGGGACACGCAGUAGAUGCCGCUGUGGGCGCAGAGGAUGUAGAGCUGUCUCGUCAGGGGCAGCAGCUCCACGUGCCACACCUGGUCGGGGCACCUGUACACUGCCUUCAGCACCUUGCCCUCCUGGUCGUAGAUGUAGACGAACUCGCUGCCGUUGCAGAGGUAGAUCUCGCUCUCGUGGCACAGCACGCGGGGUUUGCCGGCCACCAACCCCCCCACCGGGCAGCAGAAGCCGGCCAGGUAGUCCACCCGGUGCCCCACCUGCGCCAUGGUGCC